GGAGUUGUAGCUCAGUGGUUGAGCAUUUGCCUCACAUGCAUGAGGCACAAGGUUGGAUCCUCAGCACCA
RNAcentral lists this transfer RNA (69 nucleotides) under Ictidomys tridecemlineatus (thirteen-lined ground squirrel). Its description in RNAcentral is "Spermophilus tridecemlineatus (thirteen-lined ground squirrel) tRNA". It matches the Rfam family "tRNA". Rfam says of the family: Transfer RNA (tRNA) molecules are approximately 80 nucleotides in length. Their secondary structure includes four short double-helical elements and three loops (D, anti-codon, and T loops). Further hydrogen bonds mediate the characteristic L-shaped molecular structure. tRNAs have two regions of fundamental functional importance: the anti-codon, which is responsible for specific mRNA codon recognition, and the 3' end, to which the tRNAs corresponding amino acid is attached (by aminoacyl-tRNA synthetases). tRNAs cope with the degeneracy of the genetic code in two manners: having more than one tRNA (with a specific anti-codon) for a particular amino acid; and 'wobble' base-pairing, i.e. permitting non-standard base-pairing at the 3rd anti-codon position. The record is from Rfam by way of RNAcentral. Lineage: Eukaryota; Metazoa; Chordata; Mammalia; Rodentia; Sciuridae.